GUCUAUGGCCAUACCACCCUGAUCGCGCCUGAUCUCGUCUGAUUUCAGAAGCUGAGCAGGGUUGGGCCUGGUUAGUACUUGGAUGGGAGACCAUCUGGGAAUAUCAAGUGCUGUAGUGC
This 119-nucleotide ribosomal RNA is filed under the name Ochotona princeps (American pika). The record is from RNAcentral. Lineage: Eukaryota; Metazoa; Chordata; Mammalia; Lagomorpha; Ochotonidae.